RNAcentral lists this ribosomal RNA (245 nucleotides) under uncultured bacterium. RNAcentral's name for it is "partial small subunit ribosomal RNA". It matches the Rfam family "Bacterial small subunit ribosomal RNA", at positions 26 to 285 of the family's 1533-position model. The record is from RNAcentral.
AGAAUCAACGCUGGCGGCGUGCCUAACACAUGCAAGUCGCACGAGAAAGGGACUUCGGUCCUGAGUACAGUGGCGCACGGGUGAGUAACACGUGAAUCAUCUACCUCCGAGUGGGGAAUAACCUAGAGAAAUCUGGGCUAAUACCGCAUAACACUUACGAGUCAAAGCAGCAAUGCGCUUGGAGAGGAGUUCGCGGCAGAUUAGUUAGUUGGCGGGGUAACGGCCCACCAAGACGAUGAUCUGUA